RNAcentral lists this ribosomal RNA (379 nucleotides) under uncultured cyanobacterium. RNAcentral's name for it is "bacterial SSU rRNA". It matches the Rfam family "Bacterial small subunit ribosomal RNA", at positions 376 to 770 of the family's 1533-position model. Lineage: Bacteria; Bacillati; Cyanobacteriota. The record is from RNAcentral.
CGCAAGCCUGACGGAGCCAGACCGCGUGGGGGAGGAAGGCCCUUGGGUUGUAAACCCCUUUUCUCAGGGAAGAAGCACUGACGGUACCUGAGGAAUAAGCCUCGGCUAACUCCGUGCCAGCAGCCGCGGUAAGACGGAGGAGGCAAGCGUUAUCCGGAAUCAUUGGGCGUAAAGCGUCCGCAGGCGGUUAUUUAAGUCUGCUGUUAAAGCCCACAGCUCAACUGUGGAUCGGCAGUGGAAACUGAAUAACUUGAGAGCGGUAGGGGUAGAGGGAAUUCCCGGUGUAGCGGUGAAAUGCGUAGAGAUUGGGAAGAACACCGGUGGCGAAAGCGCUCUACUGGGUCGCACCUGACCCUCAGGGACGAAAGCUAAGGUAGCG